Papio anubis (olive baboon) is the source of this 148-nucleotide unclassified non-coding RNA. It matches the Rfam family "Metazoan signal recognition particle RNA". Rfam says of the family: The signal recognition particle (SRP) is a universally conserved ribonucleoprotein. It is involved in the co-translational targeting of proteins to membranes. The record is from Ensembl. NCBI's taxonomy places the organism in Eukaryota, Metazoa, Chordata, Mammalia, Primates, Cercopithecidae.
GCCAGGUGUGGUAACGCACACCUGUAGUCCCAGCUACCCAAGAGGCUGAGGCAGGAGGAUCCCUUGAGCCCAGGAGUUUGAGACUGCACUGAGCCAUGAUGGCACCAGUGGGCUCCAGCAUGGGUGACAAAGUGAGAUCCUGUCUCAA